GGUGUCUCCAGAGACACGAUCCACCACGGCACGGACGAUCCGGAGGAGAUCAGACAACUGAAGGAAGCGCAGGGCUCCUUCAAUCAGCGGGA
This 92-nucleotide non-coding RNA is filed under the name Symbiodinium sp. Mp. Lineage: Eukaryota; Dinophyceae; Suessiales; Symbiodiniaceae. The record is from RNAcentral.